This 215-nucleotide ribosomal RNA is filed under the name uncultured bacterium. Its description in RNAcentral is "partial 16S ribosomal RNA". It matches the Rfam family "Bacterial small subunit ribosomal RNA", at positions 119 to 334 of the family's 1533-position model. The record is from RNAcentral.
CGCUAAUGUGCCCCGGACUCUGGGAUAGCUGACCGAAAGGUCAGGUAAUACCAGAUGACAUAUCCUGACGGCAUCGUCGGGAUCUCAAAGGUCCGCCGGUCUGGGAGCAGGCGAUUUCGUAUCAGCUAGUUGGUGAGGUAACGGCUCACCAAGGCGACGACGCGUAGCCGGACUGAGAGGUUGGCCGGCCACAUUGGGACUGAGGCACUGCCCAG